RNAcentral lists this ribosomal RNA (486 nucleotides) under uncultured bacterium. Its description in RNAcentral is "partial 16S ribosomal RNA". It matches the Rfam family "Bacterial small subunit ribosomal RNA", at positions 28 to 507 of the family's 1533-position model. The record is from RNAcentral.
GAUGAACGCUGGCGGCGUGCCUAAUACAUGCAAGUCGAACGCUGGAAAUCUAGCUUGCUGGCUUGAAGGAGUGGCGAACGGGUGAGUAAUACAUAAGCAACCUACCCACGAAGACUGGGAUAAUCUCUGGAAACGGGGACUAAUACCGGAUAGGUAAUCGGAAGGCAUCUUCUGAUUAUUAAAGGUUAAAAACACUGGUGGAUGGGCUUAUGGCGCAUUAGUUAGUUGGUGAGGUAACGGCCCACCAAGACGAUGAUGCGUAGCCGGCCUGAGAGGGUGAACGGCCACAUUGGGACUGAGACACGGCCCAGACUCCUACGGGAGGCAGCAGUAGGGAAUUUUCGGCAAUGGGGGAAACCCUGACCGAGCAACGCCGCGUGAGUGAUGACGGCCUUCGGGUUGUAAAGCUCUGUUGUAAGGGAAGAACGGUAGAUAGAGAAUAUCUAAAUGACGGUACCUUACCAGAAAGCCACGGCUAACUACGUG